AUACCCCAUAGGCUAUGGAAGCUGGAAUGCUCUGUAGUUGAAAGGUCAGCCGCCUUAGGAUGGGUCUGCGGCCGAUUAGGUUGUUGUUGGGGUAACGGCCCAACAAGCCUGUAAUCGGUACGGGUUGUGGGAGCAAGAGCCCGGAGAUGGAUUCUGAGACACGAAUCCAGGCCCUACGGGGCGCAGCAGGCGCGAAAACUUUACAAUGCGGGAAACCGUGAUAAGGGAACUCCGAGUGCCCGUUAAAUCGGGCUGUCCACCAGUUUAAAAAACUGGUGAAGAAAGGGCCGGGCAAGACCGGUGCCAGCCGCCGCGGUAAUACCGGCGGCUCGAGUGGUGGCCACUAUUACUGGGCUUAAAGCGUUCGUAGCUGGUUUGUUAAGUCUCUGGGGAAAUCUUCCGGCUUAACCGGAAGGCGUCUCAGGGAUACUGGCAGACUAGGGACCGGAAGAGGUGAGGGGUACUCCAGGGGUAGGAGUGAAAUCCUGUAAUCCUUGGGGGACCACCUGUGGCGAAGGCGCCUCACCAGGACGGCUCCGACAGUGAGGGACGAAAGCUGGGGGAGCAAACCGGAUUAGAUACCCGGGUAGUCCCAGCCGUAAACGAUGUGCGUUAGGUGUAUCGGUGACCACGAGUCACCGAGGUGCCGAAGAGAAAUCGUGAAACGUACCGCCUGGGAAGUACGGUCGCAAGGCUGAAACUUAAAGGAAUUGGCGGGGG
RNAcentral lists this ribosomal RNA (720 nucleotides) under uncultured archaeon. Its description in RNAcentral is "bacterial SSU rRNA". It matches the Rfam family "Archaeal small subunit ribosomal RNA", at positions 149 to 874 of the family's 1478-position model. The record is from RNAcentral.